CCUACGGGUGGCAGCAGUCGGGAAUUUUGCGCAAUGGACGAAAGCCUGACGCAGUGACGCCGCGUAUAGGAAGAAGGUCUUCGGAUUGUAAACUACUGUCGUUAGGGAAGAUAAAAGACUGUACCUAAGGAGGAACCCCUGGCUAACUACGUGCCAGCAGCCGCGGUAAUACAUAGGGUGCAAGCGUUAUACGGAAUUAUUGGGUGUAAAGGGGGCGUAGGCGGAAGAAGAAGUGGGUUGUGAAAUCCCUGGGCUCAACUGAGGAACUGCAAACGAGACUAUUCGCCUUGAGUGCGGGAGAGGAAAGUGGAAUUCCACGUGUAGCAGUGAAAUGCGUAGAUAUUUGGAGGAACACCAGUGGCGAAGGCGACGUUCUGGAAGGUAACUGACGUUGAGGCACGAAAGCGUGGGGAGCAAACAGGAUUAGAUACCCUUGUAGUC
RNAcentral lists this ribosomal RNA (441 nucleotides) under uncultured bacterium. RNAcentral's name for it is "partial 16S ribosomal RNA". It matches the Rfam family "Bacterial small subunit ribosomal RNA", at positions 338 to 795 of the family's 1533-position model. The record is from RNAcentral.